This 203-nucleotide unclassified non-coding RNA is filed under the name uncultured Agaricales. RNAcentral's name for it is "sequence contains ITS2". RNAcentral also lists the same sequence under 1 other name. Lineage: Eukaryota; Fungi; Basidiomycota; Agaricomycetes; Agaricales. The record is from RNAcentral.
AAUUCUCAACCCCUCCAGUUGUGAUGGGGCUUGGAUAUGGGGGCUUGCGGGUCUUUACUGAUGUAAAGGUCAGCUCUCCUGAAAUACAUUAGCGGAACCGUUUGCAGUCCCGUCACUGGUGUGAUAAUUAUCUACGCUGUGAUGGAUUGCUCUCUGACUAGUUCAGCUGCUAAUCGUCCGUUAUGGACAAUGUUUAAUGAACU